GUCAUUUAGCAGCACAUCUACAAACAUUGGAAUGAUACUGAGUUUAGCAGGGCCCCUGUGCAAAGAAGACAUACUGAUUCUUGAAGUAUUUCAUAUUAUU
Molecule: small nuclear RNA, 100 nt
Organism: Dipodomys ordii (Ord's kangaroo rat)
Lineage: Eukaryota; Metazoa; Chordata; Mammalia; Rodentia; Heteromyidae
Source: Ensembl